UGACCAUGGGUUUUUAGUACCUGGCC
Molecule: non-coding RNA, 26 nt
Filed under: Rattus norvegicus (Norway rat)
Lineage: Eukaryota; Metazoa; Chordata; Mammalia; Rodentia; Muridae
Source: RNAcentral